This 1066-nucleotide ribosomal RNA is filed under the name Pochyta sp. MRB216. RNAcentral describes it as "eukaryotic LSU rRNA". It matches the Rfam family "Eukaryotic large subunit ribosomal RNA", at positions 89 to 881 of the family's 3401-position model. Lineage: Eukaryota; Metazoa; Arthropoda; Arachnida; Araneae; Salticidae. The record is from RNAcentral.
GCGAGCGAAAAGGGAGGAGCCCAGCGCCGAAUCCCCGGCCUACGGUCGCGGGAAAUGUGGCGUUUAGGAGUGAGCGUGCCGGGUUCGACGGCGGCGGCAAGUCCCCCUGACCGGGGCCUGUCCGUAGCGGGUGCGAGGCCCAUAGCCGCCGCCUUCGUCUCGGAUGCGAUCUCCUUGGAGUCGGGUUGCUUGGGAGUGCAGCCCUAAUCGGGUGGUAAACUCCACCUAAGGCUAAAUACCGCCGUGAGACCGAUAGCAAACAAGUACCGUGAGGGAAAGUUGCAAAGAACUUUGAAGAGAGAGUUCAAGAGUACGUGAAACUGCUCAGAGGUAAACGGGUGGGCCCUCGAAAUCCUGUGGCGAGAGGAUUCAGUCUGGAGUGGCGGACGCGCAGUCGGAAGACCGAGUAGGGCUUCCCGAGACCGGGGCCGUCCGACAGCGUGUCUUCUGCCGUUCCAGACGCAUUUGUCUCUCGUUCGAAGGACGCUGCAGCCGGUCUGGCAGUGCAAGCGCGACGGCCUGAAGGUCGGGAACCGGCAGGUGGCCGGCGGCUCGCUUCGUGCGGGCUGUCGGUUGUUAGCCGUCCCGUCAGUGGCCCGUCGCCAGACCGAGGUGUCGCGAGUCCCUCCCCGGGACUCCUCGUCUCCACCCCCGUGGUCGCGGGACAGGGCGUGGCAAGGGAACCGUGUCACCACCGUCGCACUCUUACGGAGUGGGCGGAGGUGCUCGGGACCCCGUUGGCUGCGACGGACCCGUCGGGGACCGGAGGCUGGCAGCGAGUAGGUCGGUCACCCACCCGACCCGUCUUGAAACACGGACCAAGGAGUCUAACAUGUGCGCGAGUCAAUGGGUCUUGACUAGGCCCAGGGGCGCAAUGAAAGCGAAGGACCGCCUAGCGCGGUCUGAGUGGGGAUCCCUCCGCUUGGCGGCGGGGGGCGCACCCACGACCCGUCCUAUCCGGCUCGCCGGUUGGGCGGAGUCUGAGCGUACACGUUGGGACCCGAAAGAUGGUGAACUAUGCCCGGACAGGACGAGGCCAGAGGAAACUCUGGUGGAGGUCCGCAGC